RNAcentral lists this ribosomal RNA (253 nucleotides) under uncultured bacterium. Its description in RNAcentral is "partial 16S ribosomal RNA". It matches the Rfam family "Bacterial small subunit ribosomal RNA", at positions 524 to 776 of the family's 1533-position model. The record is from RNAcentral.
UACGUAGGGGGCAAGCGUUGUCCGGAAUCAUUGGGCGUAAAGAGCGUGUAGGCGGCCCGAUAAGUCCGCUGUGAAAGUCCAGGGCUCAACCCUGGAAUGCCAGUGGAAACUGUCGGGCUGGAGUCCGGAAGAGGCGAGUGGAAUUCCCGGUGUAGCGGUGAAAUGCGCAGAUAUCGGGAAGAACACCCGUGGCGAAGGCGGUUCUCUGGGACGGUACUGACGCUGAGACGCGAAAGCGUGGGGAGCGAACAGG